GACGAACGCUGGCGGCGUGCCUAAUACAUGCAAGUUGAGCGCUGAAGGUUGGUACUUGUACCAACUGGAUGAGCAGCGAACGGGUGAGUAACGCGUGGGGAAUCUGCCUUUGAGCGGGGAACAACAUUUGGAAACGAAUGCUAAUACCGCAUAAAAACUUUAAACACAAGUUUUAAGUUUGAAAGAUGCAAUUGCAUCACUCAAAGAUGAUCCCGCGUUGUAUUAGCUAGUUGGUGAGGUAAAGGCUCACCAAGGCGAUGAUACAUAGCCGACCCGAGAGGGUGAUCGGCCACAUUGGGACUGAGACACGGCCCAAACUCCUACGGGAGGCAGCAGUAGGGGAAUCUUCGGCAAUGGACGAAAAGUCUGACCCGAGCAAACGCCGCGUGAGUGAAAGAAAGGUUUUUCGGAUUCGUAAAAACUUC
RNAcentral lists this ribosomal RNA (425 nucleotides) under Lactococcus lactis. RNAcentral describes it as "bacterial SSU rRNA". It matches the Rfam family "Bacterial small subunit ribosomal RNA", at positions 28 to 434 of the family's 1533-position model. Lineage: Bacteria; Bacillati; Bacillota; Bacilli; Lactobacillales; Streptococcaceae. The record is from RNAcentral.